UACCCAGAGUUCCUUUCGGUCCAGUCGCGUAGGCUUGAGUUGGUCGACGACAAAAUUUUUUGAAUUGACUGUAAUCAACUGAGCCAACCGGAUGACGGUAAUCGACUUUAGAAACUCAUAUGUGGAUGUACUUUUAUUUCAGGAGUCGUAAUAACCGAUCGAGAAGUAGAGAGUCAAGAAGAAGAAGUCGUAGUCGUGAUAGGAAACCUCGUCCUCAUUCAACAAGUCGAUCACGAACGCGCUCCAAAUCUCGAUCUCGUUCGGGAUCGCGUUCCCGGAGAGGUGGUCCGCGCUCAAGAUCCAUGUCCCGAUCUCGAUCACGCUCUCAUUCAAAAUCACGUUCAGAAAUAAAAAAAAGAGAAAUUGACGCAACAGAGGAGAGAAACGAGAGAUUAUCUAAAUAGUUACGCUUAGAAUCCUUUUUUGAAAAAUGUAUGUCAAGGCGCUUAAGUAAAUGUCAGUUAAGGUUAAAAUCUUCUUUGUUUUGUUAUUUUGGAAUAACGUGUAUUCAUUGUAUUUACAGUUUGCAUAAUAGUUCAACUUUAUCGAUGAUUAUUGGCACUGCUUGAAAUUGAAUUAUAGUAAUAGGGAAACUCUAUAGUAGGAUUAACCUUUUUAAAACAAACUUGUACCUGUAGUCUCCUUUGCAAAAGUGUUGGUCCGAAAUUCCCUCCCCAAUAACGUCUGCUCAAUGGAGCACUGAAUUCC
Molecule: long non-coding RNA, 708 nt
Organism: Actinia tenebrosa (Australian red waratah sea anemone)
Lineage: Eukaryota; Metazoa; Cnidaria; Anthozoa; Actiniaria; Actiniidae
Source: RefSeq, a predicted model, not a curated record